Molecule: ribosomal RNA, 281 nt
Filed under: uncultured bacterium
Lineage: Bacteria
Description: partial 16S ribosomal RNA
Rfam family: Bacterial small subunit ribosomal RNA
Source: RNAcentral
GUGCCAGCAGCCGCGGUAAUACGUGGGGGGCGAGCGUUGUCCGGAUUUAUUGGGCGUAAAGAGCUCGUAGGCGGUUCAACAAGUCGGUCGUGAAAGUUCAGGGCUCAACCCUGAAAUGUCGAUCGAUACUGUUGUGACUAGGAUACGGUAGAGGUGAGUGGAAUUCCGAGUGUAGCGGUGAAAUGCGUAGAUAUUCGGAGGAACACCAAUUGCGAAGGCAGCUCACUGGGCAUUUACUGACGCUCAGACACGAAGGCUAGGGUAGCGAAAGGGAUUAGAUA